Molecule: ribosomal RNA, 2951 nt
Filed under: leotiomycete sp. G21-24-PU162
Lineage: Eukaryota; Fungi; Ascomycota; Leotiomycetes
Description: bacterial SSU rRNA
Rfam family: Eukaryotic small subunit ribosomal RNA (bases 578-2951)
Source: RNAcentral
AAGCAACUAUACUGUGAAACUGCGAAUGGCUCAUUAAAUCAGUUAUCGUUUAUUUGAUAGUACCUUACUACUUGGAUAACCGUGGUAAUUCUAGAGCUAAUACAUGCUAAAAACCUCGACUUCGGAAGGGGUGUAUUUAUUAGAUAAAAAACCAAUGCCCUUCGGGGCUCACUGGUGAUUCAUAAUAACUUAACGAAUCGCAUGGCCUUGUGCCGGCGAUGGUUCAUUCAAAUUUCUGCCCUAUCACCUUUCGAUUGUUGGAUAGUGGCCAACAAUGGGUUCAACGGGUAACGGGGAAUUAGAAACUUAGUUCUCAAGUGGGGUUGCUUCGGCGGCUUCAAGUCUCCCCCGCCCCCUAGUUUGCACUGGGGCGGGGAAAGGCGACACACCUGGUUGCGGGGACCUCCUGUUAGGUCUGCAGUACCGGUGCCAGGGUAACACCCGGGCAUAUGGUUAUAAGCUGCAGAAUAGGGACAAUCCGCAGCGACCUGGCUGCCCUUAGGGGGUGCUCGGCGUCUCAACGCUCGCUAAGGUGUGGGCUCUGUAUAGAGCUUAAGGUACGGGCUAGUCCCACCGGAAACGGUGCCAGUGGUUACCAACCGUGCAAGGUUGCCAGCCGCUGGGGGCAUUACGCCUGGUAUUCACGUAGGGUUCUAUUCCGGAGAGGGAGCCUGAGAAACGGCUACCACAUCCAAGGAAGGCAGCAGGCGCGCAAAUUACCCAAUCCCGACACGGGGAGGUAGUGACAAUAAAUACUGAUACAGGGCUCUUUUGGGUCUUGUAAUUGGAAUGAGUACAAUUUAAAUCCCUUAACGAGGAACAAUUGGAGGGCAAGUCUGGUGGACAUUGGCGUCCUGAGGUGUUAAAACCUCUUAUUGCUGACGCCAGAAAGAGAAGAACUUCGGUUCUACUAGUCGACUAUACUACAAGCUUUGGGUGUAUAGCGGCAAGACAACCUGGAUCGGGGGAGGCUAAGGGCGCAAGCCUAUGCUAACCCCGAGCCGAGCUACUGGAGGGCAACCCCCAGAUAGCCGGUGUAGAGCGCGGAAAGGUGUCGGUCAUCCUAUCUGAUAGGUGGCUUGAGGGACGUGCCGUCUCACCCGAAAGGGUGUUUCUAAGGAGGAGCUCCCAAAGGGCAAAUCUUAGAAAAGGGUGUAUACCCUAUAAUCUAACGGCCAGCAGCCGCGGUAAUUCCAGCUCCAAUAGCGUAUAUUAAAGUUGUUGCAGUUAAAAAGCUCGUAGUUGAACCUUGGGCCUGGCUGGCCGGUCCGCCUCACCGCGUGCACUGGUCCGGCCGGGUCUUUCCUUCUGGGGAGCCGCAUGCCCUUCACUGGGUGUGUCGGGGAACCAGGACUUUUACUUUGAAAAAAUUAGAGUGUUCAAAGCAGGCCUAUGCUCGAAUACAUUAGCAUGGAAUAAUAGAAUAGGACGUGUGGUUCUAUUUUGUUGGUUUCUAGGACCGCCGUAAUGAUUAAUAGGGAUAGUCGGGGGCGUCAGUAUUGCGUUGUCAGAGGUGAAAUUCUUGGAUUUACGCAAGACUAACUACUGCGAAAGCAUUCGCCAAGGAUGUUUUCAUUAAUCAGUGAACGAAAGUUAGGGGAUCGAAGACGAUCAGAUACCGUCGUAGUCUUAACCAUAAACUAUGCCGACUAGGGAUCGGGCGAUGUUAUCUUUUUGACUCGCUCGGCACCUCACGAGAAAUCAAAGUCUUUGGGUUCUGGGGGGAGUAUGGUCGCAAGGCUGAAACUUAAAGAAAUUGACGGAAAGGCACCACCAGGCGUGGAGCCUGCGGCUUAAUUUGACUCAACACGGGGAAACUCACCAGGUUAACUACAGUUACGUCUGGGCCUGGAAUAGUUAUUUGACAACUAGUACACGCCUUUACUUGUGUGGGAGAAGUCUCCCAAUUUUGGACACAAGGCCCUUUCAGGAGGGUUUGGCGGUGCGACACUACCUGGUACAGGGGACGCCUCGCUGGAGUGAUCCGGCAGGCCGACUCUGUGGCGAGCUCGAGUAACGUCGAGCCGUCGCAACGCGCGGAAAGGAGUGGGUUCGCUGGAUCUCAGCGGGCUUAAGGUACGUGCUAAUCCCAUGGGAAACCAUGCUCAGUGACGGAGGUCCAAAAGCCUAAGUCACCGGGGUUCCAGAGAUGGAACGGUAUGGUGGGAUCAUUUCGGUGAUCUCAAGAUGCCAGACAUAAUAAGGAUUGACAGAUUGAGAGCUCUUUCUUGAUUUUAUGGGUGGUGGUGCAUGGCCGUUCUUAGUUGGUGGAGUGAUUUGUCUGCUUAAUUGCGAUAACGAACGAGACCUUAACCUGCUAAAUAGCCAGGCUAGCUUAGGCUGGUCGCCGGCUUCUUAGAGGGACUAUCGGCUCAAGCCGAUGGAAGUUUGAGGCAAUAACAGGUUAACCUUCACAGGCCUGUAAAAGUGGUCGUCCGCUAGUCCAACGUCUUAAUCUCUGUGAAGAAGUCUUCUUCUGCCGGGCAGAGAGGUGUCCUCGCGACGCCAUACGUGGGCAACACUACCUGGAACAGGAAACGCCGGAGUAAGUCUGCUCAGCAGCAUUGGCCGAUCCUGUGGCGAGUCAAGGUAACGCUUGACCGUCGCAACGCGCGCUAAGGAGUGGGUAUCGAACCCCGAGAGGGUCGAUAUUUGAGGUACGUGCUAUCCGCUGGGUAACCAGUCUUAUGCGUCAAGGCCCGGCAGGCCGAAACGUGUAGGGGCACCACCCUUUUGGGGGUGGUGCUGGCGUCGAAUUGCUGUGAUGCCCUUAGAUGUUCUGGGCCGCACGCGCGCUACACUGACAGAGCCAACGAGUUCAUCACCUUGCCCGAAAGGGUUGGGUAAUCUUGUUAAACUCUGUCGUGCUGGGGAUAGAGCAUUGCAAUUAUUGCUCUUCAACGAGGAAUGCCUAGUAAGCGCAAGUCAUCGAGCUUGCGUUGAUUACGCCC